Molecule: ribosomal RNA, 664 nt
Filed under: Leifsonia sp. SCMS18
Lineage: Bacteria; Bacillati; Actinomycetota; Actinomycetes; Micrococcales; Microbacteriaceae
Description: bacterial SSU rRNA
Rfam family: Bacterial small subunit ribosomal RNA
Source: RNAcentral
GGCCGUAACUGACGCUGAGGAGCGAAAGCGUGGGGAGCGAACAGGAUUAGAUACCCUGGUAGUCCACGCCGUAAACGUUGGGCGCUAGAUGUGGGGACCAUUCCACGGUUUCCGUGUCGCAGCUAACGCAUUAARCGCCCCGCCUGGGGAGUACGGCCGCAAGGCUAAAACUCAAAGGAAUUGACGGGGGCCCGCACAARCGGCGGAGCAUGCGGAUUAAUUCGAUGCAACGCGAAGAACCUUACCAAGGCUUGACAUACACGAGAACGGGCCAGAAAUGGUCAACUCUUUGGACACUCGUGAACAGGUGGUGCAUGGUUGUCGUCAGCUCGUGUCGUGAGAUGUUGGGUUAAGUCCCGCAACGAGCGCAACCCUCGUUCUAUGUUGCCAGCGCGUAAUGGCGGGAACUCAUAGGAGACUGCCGGGGUCAACUCGGAGGAAGGUGGGGAUGACGUCAAAUCAUCAUGCCCCUUAUGUCUUGGGCUUCACGCAUGCUACAAUGGCCGGUACAAAGGGCUGCAAUACCGUAAGGUGGAGCGAAUCCCAAAAAGCCGGUCUCAGUUCGGAUUGAGGUCUGCAACUCGACCUCAUGAAGUCGGAGUCGCUAGUAAUCGCAGAUCAGCAACGCUGCGGUGAAUACGUUCCCGGGCCUUGUACACACCGA